This 69-nucleotide transfer RNA is filed under the name Opistholeptus burmanus. RNAcentral's name for it is "tRNA-Gln". The record is from RNAcentral. Lineage: Eukaryota; Metazoa; Arthropoda; Insecta; Hemiptera; Pachygronthidae.
UAUGUAUUAGUGUAUGAAGCACAAAGAGUUUUGAUCUCUUUAGAUUUAGUUUAAUUCUAAGAUAUAUAA